Long non-coding RNA from Lagenorhynchus albirostris (white-beaked dolphin), 433 nucleotides. RefSeq lists it as uncharacterized. The record is from RefSeq and is a predicted model, not a curated record. NCBI's taxonomy places the organism in Eukaryota, Metazoa, Chordata, Mammalia, Artiodactyla, Delphinidae. The transcript has 3 exons.
AGGUGGAAUGUGAGCCUGGUGCCAGUGAGAGCCACCUUUUCCACUCCACAGAAAAGAGGACACCAUCAUACAGAAAAACAGAGGAACAAUAUGAAGAAGAAACUGAGGCUCAGAGAGAGGCAGUAACUUCUCAAGGUGACUUAGCUCAUAAGUGAUACAUCAAGGACCCAAUUUCCAGACGGAGACAUAAAGAGAGACAGAGAUGAGAGAGAAAAGCAGCUGGAAACCUAGAAGAGAGAGAAGGAAACCAAGAGGCAGAGAGAAAAGACAAAGCAUGACGGUGGCCUCACUAGGGCUUAUGGAGGAUACAGUGACAAACCGCCAACAUCUGCCCACAAUCUUCGAGGUCCUGCAAGAUCUGCAGGCCCAUUACCUCCCUGACCUCAUCUACCUCCUGCUCUCCUCCUCCUCCACAGCUCCAUCCUCACCGGUC